RNAcentral lists this transfer RNA (74 nucleotides) under Salmo salar (Atlantic salmon). It matches the Rfam family "tRNA". From Rfam's summary of the family: Transfer RNA (tRNA) molecules are approximately 80 nucleotides in length. The record is from Rfam by way of RNAcentral. Lineage: Eukaryota; Metazoa; Chordata; Actinopteri; Salmoniformes; Salmonidae.
GGAACUGUGGGUUAGCUGGUGAAAGCACAUGUCUCGUAAACAGGAGACCCUGGGUAUGAAUCCCAGCAGUACCU